GAGACCAGCCUGACCAACAUGGCAAAACACCGUCUGUACUAAAAAUACAAAAUUAGCCAGGCGUGGUGGCACAUGCCUGUAAUCCCAGCUGCUCGGGAGGCUGUGGCAGGAGAAUUGCUUGAAUCAGGGAGGUGGAGAUUGCAGAGAGCUGAGAUCAUGCCAUUGCACUCCAGCAUGGGUGACAGAGCGAAACUCCAUAAAAAAAAAAAAUGUAAGGGCUUGAAAAUAGUUUAUCAUCAUCAUUAAUUUAUUUCUGUAAACUCUUCCCCUUUCCUCUUUCCUCUUAGCAUAAUUGAACUUCCACAUGGAGGUCUGUUCUACUCCUGAUUCGAGUUUUGUAAAUAAUCUUUGUGGUAUUCUUUUGUGCCAAUGACAGCAGUUUAUUCUUCAGUUGAUCUUUUUGCCUCUUCUUCUUUUCCCCCAGCCAGCUUUCAAUGGUUAUAGAGCUUUAGCCUUCUGUGAAGAUAGAAAAAGCAUUCAUAUACUUUCCUUUGCAGAUCUAUCAUCUCCUUUCCAUUAAAGCAAUCCCUUGAUAUACCACAUACUCGAGUCUUAGUCAUUUCUUUCAAUAUGCAAUGCUGACUUGUUGGCAUAAUUUCAUCUCACUUACACAUUUUCAAACACAUUCUUCUCAACCUGAAGUCUGAGUAAGCUGGUAGCAAUGAAGACAAAAACAGUAUUCACCUUCAAUCACCAUAGUGUCCCAGCCCCUAGCUCAGUGCCAGCCAAAUAAUAAGAACCCACAAAUAUUUGGGUAAUGAAUGAGUAAAUGGGCUGUGUGUUGACAAGAGAGUAGCUGAAACGCUAAACUCAUUUGUUUUUUAGUGACAGUUACUAAGUGGGGAGAAUUCCAGGGGGAAUAAUGAUGGAGGACAGUGUGGAGUCUAAAGCCAAUGUGUGUGUGUGUGUGUGUGCGUGUUUGCGUGCAUGUGUGUGUGAGAGAGAGAGAGAGAUGUUCAGAGAUUAGCAGGAAGUACAGUUCAGAAUCAAAUAGCUUAAAGGAAAAGGAGGGAUUGGGACAUCACCCAUGGUAAAGGGUUCUGAGAAGCUACCCUAUUGAUUCAUAGAGGGUGUUCAGAGUCCCGUGUUUUAGUGACCCCAGUUCCACCUAGACCCAGCUCCAGGCAUAAUAUGUUUGACAAAAUGGCAGGACAGUGAAAGGGUCAUUAAAGUACUUUAUUUGUAUCAUGAAAAGAUUGACUUAUAAAUCUUCAUUAAAUAUUUGCCUUCCUAGCCAGACAUAAGCUCCAUAAAGACAGGCGCUGGCCCUCAGGGAGCAAGUGAACUGGCAUGGUGCCUGGCGCCCAGCAGUUCCUUCAUGAAGAUUUCAGAAUGACCAAGUGAGUUGAAUGCACAGCCCAGGCAUCUGUGUUUUCACACCUCUCCAGGGUCUGUUCCAUUAUUCACGUAGAAAAACCUGUUAACUAUUGUGAAGCAGCCUUGUAUCUGUAGCUGCCACACACUUCUCAAUGACCUUCCCUUUCCAAGUUGAGUUUUGCACCAUGUCAACAAGUGGCAGCUUUCUAGCAUCAAAUUGUUUGUCCAGGGUUAUCAGCAUUACUUUCUUUUCUUGUCCUCACUACAAUACACAUGCCCAUCUCAAAUCAGUUCCAUUGUUACUUAGGUAAUAGUAUUGUAGGGUGUCUUUACUUCAGAAAGAAUGAUAUAUUUAGCAAAUGUUACAGAUAUAGGAGGUUUUAAGUGGGACUAAAUGCAGCAAUUAAUGCUAAUGAGUCUGCUGUUAGCAUGUAAUAUUCUUGGUGUUAUAAUCAUGCAUCACUGAAUGCGAAGCCUCAGUUUGUGCAACAGAUGCCGAUCUUAAUGGCUAUAUUCUCUUCCCAUGGAUAAGCUAGCUUUAGUUAAAUGAAUCAUUAAGAAUAACCAUUUAAAAUGUUAAUGAAAACAGUGAUUAUAACCACCAAGAUUUUUUUUUUAACUUCUGGCUCUAUUACUUUUUAUUUUCGAAAGGACUUUGGGAAGGUAAGAAACUUAUUGCCUGUGUAUGUUGUUUUAAACAGAGAAGGCCGAUACAGUUUCUGUUCACAGCAGCCCUGAGGCCGCAUGCCUGUAUUAUUAACACCAACCGUACUUGGAGACUAACUCUCUUUUGUUCUCAUUUGUCAUUUCUUUUAAAUAUUCAUUUAGGGUAUAAGACAGAAUUGGGUAAGUAGGAUCCUUGACAGUCCAACUAGUUGGUAAACAAAUAUUUUGUCUUCCUGAAAGUAUCAUUAUACUAUCGCAAAUUAAGACUGAAAAGGAAAAAAAUACCAGGAUGUUGAUAUUUAAGAAUAAAUACUUUAUCUUUUCAGAACAACAAUAAGAAGGCUGGUUUAGGCUUUAUCGCUGGAAAAUGGAGUUUGUGAAACAAAGAAGUAAUAGAUGCAUAGCAAGAGCUCAGUGUCCUUCCACAUUGUGUCACCGGUUGUACCCUGAGACAGAUUCUCCAAGUCUUAGAACAUGGAUAUGCAGUGAGAGUGAGGUUUACGUAGAAAAGUCUUUGUGUCUUGGGAGUGCCAUGUGUAUUGAAUGUCUAUGACUCAUGUCUCCCCUUGACUCACUUCUUGGCUGGGCUACAUGACUCAUCAGGCCUGGUAGGUUCAGGGCAGUGUAGCUGGUGGGGAAGGGCUAAGUGAAGAGGGGCUGUCUAGACCUGGGGAGCAUGGUUAUAAUGAGCUUUUUCAAACGUACAACUCAACUCUCUUGCACCUAGGAAGUAUCUUCAUCCAGAAGGAGUUCUCAGUCCUUUUUCUGGUCCUGCAGAGCAAAAGAGGAGAGAGAAAAAGAGAAUGAGUUACAUGGGCCCACUGUAUGUUAUAGCUGACUGCUGAUGGUAUCAGAGAUUUUAACACUGCAGUCAACUGCAGACAAAGCCGCAAUCUUGUGACUUCACAGAGCCUCAUGGGCUUUUGAGUUGACCAACUUGAGAAAAAUUUCUGACUUGAUGCAUGAAAUGAAACGAAGGCAGGUGACACAUAAAGGAAAUGACAAGACACGAUUGAAAACUAUUGACCCUCAAGUUAUCACAAAUGGUUAUGAAAUGGAAAUGGAAUGGGAAGGAGUAUGAAAAAAUAAGCUGAAUACUGACAAACCUAAGAAUUAUUUUCUUCAGCUUUGUCUUCCAAAGGACAAUGGUGUGAGGAGGACUUCAUCCUUGUGUAACACCCUGUGUGUGUGUUUUUCUUCUUUCUCUCACCAAAGCAUUUUUUUUUCCUCCCUUUUGCUGGAGGCCUGUCUCUUUCUCUUGAACAGAUCAACAAUCAGGUCGUAAAUGGGAGUUGGAGCCGGAUGAUCAAAAAGAACUUUAGAAAAAUGGGAAUAAAAGCAAGAGCUGAUGAGUUUGAAAUGAAAGCCCAUCUGGGAGAGCUCUUCUAAUGAACUCAGCCUACUCAAACUGUACAAAGAAAGCUGAAGAAUGAUUGCAGCUGCAAUCUCCAACCUACAUAAAGCACUAACGCUGGUAAGGUGAUGAAAGUGAAGGGAGGUAACUGGUAUCUGGAUUUGGAAGAGAGAAGUCAAAGGCCAUCACCCCCUUGUACUACUGCAUUCACCAUGUAAGUUCCUUCGGAAAUUUCACAGCCAAUCUGAAUUAAAGAGACAGCUGCAGAUGCUUCAGGAUGAAGGUCACACUCUGAAUUCUACGAAGAGCCCUAUGAUUCAAAAGUACCAUCUCUUUAGCCUCAGAGCAGUUGUAUACCACCUUCUCACUUGCUCUGUCCCUGGGCUAGUAUGGCUUUGAAAUUAUGUUAAAGAAGAGGCAUUUUCCCUCACAAAGACUCCCAAAAUAUGACUAUUAAGUGAAAGAACAGGUAGAGGGAGGGAAAGAGCUGAAUCUAAGUGGAGAUUAAUAAAGUGUUGUUUUGAAAUUGUUCCUUUAUUUUUCCUGGGUUAAUUAUCGCCAUUUAGUCACGACUUCCUGACACAGCACCAGAAAUUUUGUUGAAAUCUUAAUAUUCUGCAGGAAACUGACCUGACUACCAGCAGGAAUUAUAUUGACUAAUUAAUAAUGUCCAGUCUCCCUCAAGGAUAAGUCACCUCUGUCUGGCUCUAUCAUGGCCACUCUUAGAAUGAUGGUGAUGGUCCACUGAUUGUCACAUCCAAUGAAUUUAUCUGAAGUAUUUGUCCUAUGUAACCUCUUCAAAGCUUUCAGCGCCAGUCACCACCCAGUUUUCAUUUUCUUGUUUCUCUUCCUAACUCUCUCACAAUUUCUCAAUUUCCAUAAUUGUCUCCUCUUUCUCCAUGCACACUUUUAUACAUUGUUUUUCUCCAGGAUUGUACUUUUCUCCUGAUCUCACAGAGCACUCCUAAUACAGUGUUGGUUUUAUUUACAUUUAAUAUAAUUGAAAUCUGAAAUGGUAUACUCAGCUGCUCCAUGUAGAUAUUUGAGGGUACCUCAAAUUCAACAUGUCCUGAGCUGAAACUCAUCAUCUUCCACUUUACUUUGGUUCUUCUUCUAAAUUCCCUGUUAUCAGUUAAUGGAACUCUAAUUCAUCUAUAAAUUUAAGCUAGUAUCCACAGAAUUAUUAUUUUUGGGGGGGUGGGGGGUGGGGUACAGAGUCUCACUCUGUUGCUCAGGCUGGCUUGCAAUGGCACAAUCUUGGCUCACUGUAACCUCUGCCUCCCAGGUUCAAGCAAUCCUCCCAGCUCAGUCUCCUGAGUAGCUGGGAAUACAGGUGCAUGCCACCACACCUGGCUAAUUUUUGCAUUUUUAGGAGACACGGUUUCAACAUGUUGGCUAGGCUGGUCUCAAACUCCUGACCUCAAGUGAUCUGCUUGCCUCAGCCUCCCAAAGUGCUGGGAUUACAAACGUAAGCCACCACCCCCAGCCAAAGUUAUUCUUAUUUCCUUCUUUUUCUUCAUGUGUCUUAUGUAGUCAUAUAUUAUUUUACAUUUUUUCUAAUUUUUAAAAAAUUAUUUAAACAAAUUUUUAGCACACACCACCUUUGUUAUUCUCAUAAAUUGACCUCUACUCUCCAUCGUCACUUCCACUGCCUUUGUUCAGUGCCUUGUCAUUUGUUACCAGCAUCACUACGUAGAUUUCCAACUGGUGUUUUGGUCUGCGAUAUUGUAUCCCCUUACCCACAGCUAUUCCAUCUGUCUUUCAUAGUGAACAGAAUGUACAUACAUAAAGUUGAUCAUGUACUCAUCUUAUUUAAAUGUUCGUGGUCUUUUUACCUGUAAAAAUCCAAAUAGAUUAGUAAAACAUCAGUUCACUUAACCUAGCUUUCCAACCCCGAUCUCUUGACAUUACACUCCUUUUGCUAUGAAUUUUAUGCUUUAUUCAGACUUCAAUCUCACCCUUUCUAGAUCUGGUUUUUCCUUUUUAUUUAAAAUGUCUUGUUUGGCAAGCUCCUGCUUACUAUACAAAAUCUAUCUCAGAUGUGCCCUUCUCUGUGAUUCAUUCUCUCCAAUUUCCCUAGUUGAUUCUCAGCUUAUGCUAGCAUUUUAAGUCUUUGUUUUUCUGCUUUUCAUCACUAUUUUAAGAGUGGGCCCAAACCAUGUCUUCUCAACUUUUGCAUCUCUAUUGCCUAUCAAAGUUCCUUACACAAAGAAGUUUCUAGAUAAUUACUCAAUGGAUGAAUGAAUACAUGGGAGUCUUUUGCCUCUCAUCUCACAUUUAUAAGAGUGUCCCCACUCUGAUGUACCUUGAAGGUGGAAGAAACUUACUAUUCCAAGUGGUGUUGAAAGCGGAGAAGUUGUGACAGGACAAGAAGUGUUUUUCUAAUCUAAACCAGGUAUCUUAUUUCCCUAUAUUUGCUUCUAUCAUUUUCUCUACUCCUCUAGGUCUAGAAAAAUGAUGAUAUCUAUGAUACAUCUACGUUAUACUAUAAUAGAUAUGUGAAACUAAAUUUUUUGUCACUCUUUUAAAUUGUUUUAAAUUGACAUGUAAUAAUUGUGCAUAUUCAUUACAUGUGAUGUUUCAAUACAUAUAAUGUAUAGUGAUCAGAUCAGGGCAAUCAACAUAUACAUCAUCUCAAACAUUUGUCAUUUCUUUGUGUUGAGAAGGUUCAAUAACCUACUUUUAGCUAUUUGAAAUUAUAUAUUAUUGUUAACUCUAGUCAUCCUAUCUUGGUACAGAAUGCAUUAGAACUUAUUUCCCUUAUCUAGCUGUAGUUUUGUAUUCUUUAACAAAUCUCUUAUCAUCCAAACAGUAAAUUAAAAAAUAAAUACAAUAUGCAGGGGAAACUGCAUAACUCAAAUUCUAAAAAUAUGCUUAAGAGUGAAAACAAAAACUGAUUUCGAAUAUAUUGAUGCCCUUUCUGUAUUUGGUAGACUUAAAUAUGAACAUUUGUAUUAUCUUUUGUUAGUGUCUCUUGACUUAGAGGCUUAUAUUUAAGGAUCCCAAUAAAUAUUUUUUAAUCCAUACUCAAUGUCAUACUGAGGACUAACCACCUAUGAGUUUAUAGAGGGAUUGUGAUUAGAUCAUAAUCAGUUUUCUCACUGAUCUAUUGAAGCAGGUUAAUUUGGUCUCACAGAACUUUAAAAUUUUUUCUUUCUCUACUUCAUUUCACUGUGAAAUUAGCAAUUAUUUUUUCCUGUAAGGUAAUAAUAUGAUCAAGAAGAAAAACAGGAAGGCUGAUAAAGAGAUAUGUACAGUAGAAUUUUCUCCACUGAUCCUUUGUCUGGAAGGCAACUAAAAUUUAGGCAGUCCAGAUUCUUUCAGUCAACAGGAGGCACUGUAGUUAUUCAGAUAAAACUAUGUUUCAUUCCUUAAUUUUGGUAAAUACCAUCCUAUAUUUAUUUUCUUGGAUUAUUAUAAAACACAAUCUCAGAAUUCUGUAUAUCACAUCUGAAUCUGCAAUCUGAAUUAAGCAAAAGAAAAAACUUAGAAUGAGAUUAAUUUUAUUUGUCUAACUGACUGGGCUAAGUGGUGCUUAGACAGUUGUUUAAACAUUAUUCCUGGAUGUGUCUGUGAGGGUGUUUCUGGAUGAGAUUAACAUUUGAAUUGGUAGACUGAGAAAGCAGAUUGAUCUUCCCAAAUGUGGGUAGGCCUCACCUAAUCCAUUGAAGGCCUGAAUAGAAUAAAAGGCUAAGUAAGAAAGAAUUAUCUCUCAUUACCUGCCUUCAAGCUAGGACAUUAGUUUUCUCCUGCCUUCACACUUGGACUUGGACUGAAAUUACUUUCACACUAUCAGCUUUCCUGAGUCUUCAGCUUAUUGGCUGUAGAUUUUGAGACUUCUCAGCUUCCAUAAUCAUGUGAGCCAUUUUAAAAUUUUAUCUAUCUAUCUAUCUAUCUGUCUGUCUGUCUGUCUAUCUUCUAUGGGUUUUGUUUCUCUGAAGAAAUCAGACUAAUACAGUAAGUUUUAACAAAAUAUUUUAAGUAAGCUGAGCUUAGCUCAAUCAAAUGAAUAAUAAUACAUUAUUGUCUUUUAUACCUUGCUCUUUAUCACACUCUAAGAAGAUAUUUCUUAAAGUCCUUAUUCUCUUAUCCUCAAUCACAGUAUUACCCACCCCCCCAAAAAAAACUUUACUAAAGGAAGUUGCUGCUGUAGCUCAUCAACAUAUGUCCUUAUAUUUAAAGAAUAUUGGUGUGUAUAGCUUUAGUCAGAGGUGGAUUAUCUAGUUUCUUUACUAUAUUAAUCAUUGUAUUCUGUCCUGAGACUAGAAUAUACUGAUAUAAUAGACAGUGUAGACUGGGCACAGUGGCUCACACCUAUAAUCCCAGCAUUUUGGGAGGCCCAGGUGGGCAGAUCACUUGAGGCCAGGAAUUUGAGACCAGCCUGGGCAACAUGGCAAAACCCCUGUCUGUACUAAAAAUACAAAAAUUAGCCAGGCAUAGUGUCACAUGAUUAUAGUCCCUGAUACUUAGAGAUUGAGAUACAGAAUCGCUUGAACCUGGGAGGCAGAGGUUGCAGUGAGCUGAGAUUAUGCCACUGCACUCCAGCCUGGGUGACAGAGUGAGACUCCUUCUCAAAAAAAAAAAAAAAAAAAAAAAAGAAAGACAGUGUACAUAUCAUAUAUUUUUGUUCAUGUGUUCUUUCUGUGUCACUUCCUCUCAUUCCAUCUUUUUUUUUUUUUUUUGGCUAUAUUCUUUGCUUUGAGGACAUGAGUCAAUGUAAGAAAAUGGCUUAUUUAUAUAUCCUUCCCUUUUUGCUCUUAUGCAGUGUGAGUCCCUUAAAGUCCCUUAAUCUUUAUGAACAUUCUUCUGUCUAAAUAAGACCUUGUGCCAUGUCACACGAUGCUUCACAUUAAAAUUAUACCUCUGCUAGACUGUAAAAUUAAGGAAGUCAGAGUCCCUAAUUUAUUUUUUCUAAGUGUAUCAGUGCAGUAAUGAUUUGAGUGCACAAAAAUCCUACGGGUAUUCAAUAAAAAAUUCUGUAACAAUAAAGAUAAUUUCAAAAAUAAAAUUUCUGAUUUAUCAUUGUACCUUUGUAUAAUACCUGAAUCACAGAAUACUGUGACAGAGGGUAAGAAAAUAGGAACUUUAUGAAAUAUGCCCUGAGAGGACAGAAUCAGAGUGGAAGUGAUCAAAGAAUGCAUUGUUUAUUAAGUAGAAAGCUUUCUCUAAGUGAGCCCACGUAGAUUUCUUUCCCCAUC
Molecule: long non-coding RNA, 8535 nt
Filed under: Homo sapiens (human)
Lineage: Eukaryota; Metazoa; Chordata; Mammalia; Primates; Hominidae
Description: HSALNT0059105
Source: RNAcentral